RNAcentral lists this ribosomal RNA (487 nucleotides) under uncultured bacterium. Its description in RNAcentral is "bacterial SSU rRNA". It matches the Rfam family "Bacterial small subunit ribosomal RNA", at positions 903 to 1397 of the family's 1533-position model. The record is from RNAcentral.
AAAUGAAUAGACGGGGACCCGCACAACCGGUGGAGCGUGUGGUUCAAUUCGAGACAAAGCGAAAAACCUUACCAGGGCUUGACAUGCUAUCGUUUUAUACCUUUGGAAACUUAGGUAGAUCCGCAAGGAUGAUAGUGCAGGUGCUGCAUGGCUGUCGUCAGCUCGUGCCGUGAGGUGUUCCCUUAAGUGGGGAAACGAGCGCAACCCCCGCCUAAUGUUAAAUAUUCAUUAGGGACAGCCCUGAUUUUAUCAGGGAGGAAGGAGGGGAAGACGUCAAGUCAGCACGGCCCUUAUGCCCUGGGUUACACACACCCUACAAUGGCGAAUAACAACGUGUCGCAAGCUAGCAAUAGCAAGCUAAUCACUUAAAUUUCGCCUCAGUUCAGAUUGGAGUCUGCAACCCGACUCCAUGAAGUCGGAAUCGGUAGUAAUCGCGAAUCAGCAGGUCGCGGUGAAUACGUUCUCGGGUCUUGUACACACCGCCCGU